AGAGUUUGAUUAUGGCUCAGGAUGAACGCUGGCGGCGUGCUUAACACAUGCAAGUCGAACGAUUAACCCGCCCUCGGGCGGUUAUAGAGUGGCGAACGGGUGAGUAACACGUGACCAACCUGCCCCCUUCACCGGGAUAACCCAGGGAAACCUGCGCUAAUACCGGAUACUCCGCAUGGGCCGCAUGGCCCUUGCGGGAAAGCUCCGGCGGAAGGGGAUGGGGUCGCGGCCCAUUAGGUAGUUGGCGGGGUAACGGCCCACCAAGCCCGCGAUGGGUAGCCGGGUUGAGAGACCGAUCGGCCACAUUGGGACUGAGAUACGGCCCAG
Molecule: ribosomal RNA, 327 nt
Filed under: uncultured bacterium
Lineage: Bacteria
Description: bacterial SSU rRNA
Rfam family: Bacterial small subunit ribosomal RNA
Source: RNAcentral